AUUGAACGCUGGCGGCAGGCCUAACACAUGCAAGUCGAACGGUAACAGGAAACAGCCUGCUGUUUCGCUGACGAGUGGCGGACGGGUGAGUAAUGUCUGGGAAACUGCCUGAUGGAGGGGGAUAACUACUGGAAACGGUAGCUAAUACCGCAUAACGUCGCAAGACCAAAGAGGGGGACCUUCGGGCCUCUUGCCAUCGGAUGUGCCCAGAUGGGAUUAGAUAGUAGGUGGGGUAACGGCUCACCUAGGCGACGAUCCCUAGCUGGUCUGAGAGGAUGACCAGCCACACUGGAACUGAGACACGGUCCAGACUCCUACGGGAGGCAGCAGUGGGGAAUAUUGCACAAUGGGCGCAAGCCUGAUGCAGCCAUGCCGCGUGUAUGAAGAAGGCCUUCGGGUUGUAAAGUACUUUCAGCGGGGAGGAAGGGAGUAAAGUUAAUACCUUUACUCAUUGACGUUACCCGCAGAAGAAGCACCGGCUAACUCCGUG
This 490-nucleotide ribosomal RNA is filed under the name uncultured bacterium. RNAcentral describes it as "partial 16S ribosomal RNA". It matches the Rfam family "Bacterial small subunit ribosomal RNA", at positions 30 to 507 of the family's 1533-position model. The record is from RNAcentral.